GAUGAACGCUGGCGGCGUGCCUAAUACAUGCAAGUCGAGCGAACAGACGAGGAGUUUGCUCCUCGGACGUUAGCGGCGGACGGGUGAGUAACACGUGUAUAACCUACCUAUAAGACGGGUAUAACUUCGGGAAACCGGAGAUAAUACCGGAUAAUAUAUUGAACCGCAGGGGGCAAUAGUGAAAGACGGUUUUGCUGGCACUAAUAGAGGGAUCUGCGCCGGAUUAGCUGGUUGGUAAGCUAACGGGUUAGCAAGGGAAGGAGGCGUAGACGAGUUGAGGGGCGGAUCGCCCACCUUGGAGCUGGGCCGCGGACCAGACUCCUACGGGACGCCGCAGUCGCGUAUCUUCCGCAGUGGGCGAGAGCCUUGCGCAACAACCCCGCGCGAGUUGUGAAGGUCUUCCGAUCGUAAUGCUCUCUUAUUAGGGAAGAACAGAUGUCUCAGUAGCUGUGCCCGUCUUGACGGUACCUAGUCAGAAAGCCCCGGCUAACUACGUG
This 497-nucleotide ribosomal RNA is filed under the name uncultured bacterium. RNAcentral's name for it is "partial 16S ribosomal RNA". It matches the Rfam family "Bacterial small subunit ribosomal RNA", at positions 28 to 507 of the family's 1533-position model. The record is from RNAcentral.